Molecule: ribosomal RNA, 786 nt
Filed under: Bacillus tequilensis
Lineage: Bacteria; Bacillati; Bacillota; Bacilli; Caryophanales; Bacillaceae
Description: bacterial SSU rRNA
Rfam family: Bacterial small subunit ribosomal RNA
Source: RNAcentral
AGUCGAGCGGACAGAUGGGUAAGCUUGCUCCCUGAUGUUAGCGGCGGACGGGUGAGUAACACGUGGGUAACCUGCCUGUAAGACUGGGAUAACUCCGGGAAACCGGGGCUAAUACCGGAUGGUUGUUUGAACCGCAUGGUUCAAACAUAAAAGGUGGCUUCGGCUACCACUUACAGAUGGACCCGCGGCGCAUUAGCUAGUUGGUGAGGUAACGGCUCACCAAGGCAACGAUGCGUAGCCGACCUGAGAGGGUGAUCGGCCACACUGGGACUGAGACACGGCCCAGACUCCUACGGGAGGCAGCAGUAGGGAAUCUUCCGCAAUGGACGAAAGUCUGACGGAGCAACGCCGCGUGAGUGAUGAAGGUUUUCGGAUCGUAAAGCUCUGUUGUUAGGGAAGAACAAGUACCGUUCGAAUAGGGCGGUACCUUGACGGUACCUAACCAGAAAGCCACGGCUAACUACGUGCCAGCAGCCGCGGUAAUACGUAGGUGGCAAGCGUUGUCCGGAAUUAUUGGGCGUAAAGGGCUCGCAGGCGGUUUCUUAAGUCUGAUGUGAAAGCCCCCGGCUCAACCGGGGAGGGUCAUUGGAAACUGGGGAACUUGAGUGCAGAAGAGGAGAGUGGAAUUCCACGUGUAGCGGUGAAAUGCGUAGAGAUGUGGAGGAACACCAGUGGCGAAGGCGACUCUCUGGUCUGUAACUGACGCUGAGGAGCGAAAGCGUGGGGAGCGAACAGGAUUAGAUACCCCUGGUAGUCCACGCCGUAAACGAUGAGUGCUAAGUGUUA